Long non-coding RNA from Monodelphis domestica (gray short-tailed opossum), 8796 nucleotides. RefSeq lists it as uncharacterized. The record is from RefSeq and is a predicted model, not a curated record. NCBI's taxonomy places the organism in Eukaryota, Metazoa, Chordata, Mammalia, Didelphimorphia, Didelphidae.
GAAGAGAUUUUGAAUAGAAAAAAACAUUUUUCUCUUUUCUCCUUCUUCAUAUUUGCCUUUUCAUGAUUCUCUUAAUCUUUGUGUUUGGAUAUCAAGCUUUCAUUUAUUUCUGGUCUUUUCCUUACAAAUACUUGGAAAUCUUCUAUUUUGUUGAAUACCCAUACUUUCCCCUGGAAGUAUACAGUCAGUUUUGAUGGAUAUGUGAUUCUUGGUUGAAGACCCAGUUCUCUUGCCUUUCUGAAUAUCGUCUUCCAGGCCUUGCAGUCCUUUAGUGUGGAAGCUGCCAGGUCUUGUGUGAUCCUGAUUCGUCCUCUUUGGUAUCUGAAUUUCCUCUUUUUGGCUUCUUGUAGGAUUUUCUUCUUAGUUUGAAAGCUCUGGAAUUUGGCAAUUACAUUUCUGGGAGUUGAUUUUUGGGAGUGCAGUAUAGAGGGUGUUCUAUGAACAAUGUCUAUUUUACCUCCUUGUUCAAGAACUUCAGGGCAGUUUUCUUGGAUGAUCAUUUGUAGUAUGGUGUCAUGGUUUCUGUUUAUUUCUGGCUUUUCAGGUAUACCAAUGAUUCUCAAAUUGUCUCUCCUUCCUCUGUUUUCCUGAUCUGUCACCUUGUCAGUGAGAUAUUUUAUGUUUUCUUCUAUUUUGUCAGUCUUUGGACUUUGCUUUAUUAAUUCUUGAUGUUUUCCAAGAUCACUGGUUUCCAGUUGUUCAAUUCUGGUCCUUAAGUCCUGGUUUUCUGUUAUAAUCUUUUGGUUUUCUGCUUUAACCUUUUGGUAUUCAGCUUUGAUUUCUUCAUUUUUUAACCAUUUACCACUUUUGUAACCAAAAGGCUUCCAUCUUUUUGAUAAGGUCCAAUUGAAAUUCUUCCAGGUUGUGGAUAAUUUCUGUUUUUUUAGGUUUUGCCUCUGUUUGAAUUUCUUCCAGUAUUUUCUCUGUAGCCUGGUUUUUUCUUCCAUAAAAAAUCCUUGAAGGUUGCUGUCUUUUUUUUUUAAGGAUUUUGAGGUUCCUAUGCAUAAUUAGUCAUUUUCAUGGAUAUUUUUCCUUCCUUCUUUAGUCAGAAAUCUGAGUGAACUGGGCAGGUUUUCUGUGUAUGGAAUUGAGAAGCAAGGAUUUUGCCUGAGGCAAGCUCUCGAAUCUUCACAGUCCUUUGCAGCUCUUCUCUGUGCUACCUUCCCAGGGGCAUUCAAGUUCUGUGCUCUUCUGUCUGCCUGAGUUUCCAGUCUAGCUGCUUUCAGGGGUAGGUCCCCAGCAGUUCUAGUCAGCUCCCAAGGACCUAGAGGUUCCCCUUGCUCACUCUAGAGGUGUUCCUUUUCUCACUUGUUCUGGUGGGUGCAGUCUCUGACUUGGGCUCCAUAGGAGAGGUGGGGGAUGGUGGAUAGGCUCGUGUUUGGGUGGAAGCUUUUUCACCCUCUUAUAGAUUGGAAAAACCCCAAUCCCACAUACCUUCAAUUCUGCACCCUACUGUAUAGUUCCUCCAUUCUGAAAAUAUUUUUUAAAAUCUUUUGGGGGUAGUCUUUGUCGGUGUGUGCUGGGGAGAGGAAGUGACCCGCAUUUAGACUACCACCACCUUACCCAGAAGGAGGGUUGUUUAUUGAUGACCAUAAUGGCUCUUCCAUUAGAAGAUCCAUCUGUAAAGACCAUAUGGGCAGGAGGGUUAGGGAGUGGGACUGGGGAUGACUAGAAAGGAAGAAUUAUUGCCUGUCUCUUUAAGAAUUGUAAAAGAUGAUUAGAAGGGAUGUGAUAACCAAUGUUUCCAGAAUAUCUUGCUACAGAAACGUGCCAAUCAGUUGAACAGCAAUAAAGAUCAUUUAUCUGUGUAGCAUUUAGAGGUAUAAUGAUGGAGGAGGGAUCUGCACCAAAAAAGUUCUCUGCUUCUUCUAUGGCCUUUUAAAAUAAGUUCAACUAUUAGCCUAACAUAUGAGGAGAUAACUUUCUGAGUAGAAUUUGGUAAAUGUAGCUACUCGAGAGGGGCAUUUCACCACAAACAUUCAGUGGGAGUGUAUAUAGUUGGAAGUUGGAAUUAAUGACCAAGGCAAGUUGUAAUUUAAGUCAGCCAGGUCUGUGUCCUAAAAAUGUGGUCAAGGGGCUAUCGCUUGUCAGCAUGGAAUUUAGGAAUCCCAAACUUGUGGCCUAGUGGGAUCUGAUGAAUCCCAAUUUUAGAUUUAGUUUGUAGAUUGGAGACCCCAAAGAUUGUACUUGUUCCCUGUUACCAUGGGAAUCUACUCUGAAGGGAAAUGAUAAUCCUGGUUGGGUGAGAUAAGCAUAUGCUAAGGAAUUCUUUGUUUUAGGUAGCAUCCCCUAUUGUAUUAGAACCUUUCUCAGGAAGGUCAGACCUGGGCAUGAACCAUCCUUUAGUAACCAUUGUAAGCAGCCCCCUUCUCUUGCAUCCUAGCUUCUAGCUAUGAUUGUCUUGUCAGUGUAGUUUGAACACUCCCAUUUUCCUUGUAGCCAUAGUGAUGUCAAUCAUCUUUCCCUGCCCCUGGAUUUCCAAAGGGUAUAUAGGUUCCCCAAAUUCUUUUGUUCCCUGGAGUCCAUCCUGAGUCGGUGGCACUCCCAGGGGCUAGUGACCAGGGUGUCUUGACUCUGUGCAGUCAUGGGAAGCAUCUCUGUUGUCGUAUUAGUAGCGCUAACCCCUUUUCCCUUGAUUAAAGAGUGAUUUUGACUUUUUAAUAGUUCUGUGUUUUUUCUAGUUGACAUUAAUGGAGAUUCCACCAAGAUCCGAAGUCCCCGCUGCCUGAGCCCUCCAGCUAAUGAGAACCCCAGACUUGAGGUACCUCACAUAACCCAUUUAGGGUUGGGUCAGGAGUCUGGUUAGCAAGGGCCAGGUAAGCGGCUCUCUCAGAGGUAGGACUCGCAUCUCGUGUUUGGGAGAUUUUAAUUAAGGGAUUCUUAGUUGAGCGCCUGUGGGGUACACAGCCGCAUGGUCCAUAGCCACCUGGGCGCUAUUGGACAUGGAUAACAGCUUGUCUGUUGUCCCAAAUAUUGGUGGGGGUGGUCAGCAGGUCAAAGAACCACCUAAUGAUAUGGCCAUUUUAAGGUUUGAGAAGAUGAGAAGAUGGCAGAGUUUGGCCCCAACACGUAUUGGACAACAUGGAAUCUAAUUCAACUUGGCUUCAAUAUCUGAGUUUAAUUAGAUUUUGUGUGUGUGUGUGUUGGUGCCUGUGUGAGUGCAACAGUGUCUAUGCUAGAGGUGAGGGCAAGGAGAGCUGGUCAGAAGCACAAAUGGUUGGCUGAAAGCUUUGAAUGGGAAGCUUGAGCUGGAGUGUGAGAGCCUGAGUGUUCAAUUGAGGGUCUGAGUAACUGCUUUAAAUUGACUAAAAUAGAGAAAUUUUCUUCAUGAAUUGAGAUGCCAUGGCUUAAGGUUUAAAUGGUUAUAAAGUUUUGCAAAUAAAAAAAAAAAGCUUCUCAUAGAAGCUUAAGAACUUAAGUUCUGGAUUUCUUCUCAAAAUUUUUCUGUGGGUUUUUGCUUGUAUUAUAUGUCUAAUGGAUUUCUUAGGCAGAGACUUCGCUAAUAACUUCAAAUGCUUGUGAUUUAAAUGUUAGCCAAUAAUAUCUGUAAGUUGUUAACAAUGAAUUCCUCCCAAAAGUUGAAGAGGAGAGCCUGGAGCUGUGAUCUGGAUAUGUGAAUAUCCCACAGGAGGCAAAAGGAGGUCCAGAAAUUCUUAACUUUAAGGUCUAAUUUUUCUUCCCAAAGUUUUGGUUUGGUUAAUGUGUGAAAUAUUGUGUAUCAAGUGCAGUUAAUAUUGGUAACAAGGUGCAUUUUAUUCUAGGUACUAACCUGGUUAUUUGAGUGCUAUCAUUUCCCAUUUUUUAGGCUGUUAAUUAUUUUCAAAUAGCAAGAUGUGUGUGAGUUCUGGAGUAAAGAAAUUUCAUUUUAGGAUGGUCAACUGCAGACCUAACUGGUCACUGAAUUGGUGUAAAUGACGAGAAAUAUUGGUGAAAACGUAUUGCUUUAAAGGGCAAGGAAAUCCUGAAUAUUUUAAACUGACCCAACAAAUUUCCUCUUUAGGAGUGGCUUUAGCCUUAGGCCAAAGUGGUUUGAGGCAAGGAUAAGAGAAAGGCAAACUUGGAGCCAAAAGUAAAUUAGAGCAAAAAAAAAAAAGGAAUUGUAGAAGUAUUCAGAGUUAAAGGUGACUUUUACGUUUUCUUAAUAAUCCUAAGUUUUGUGUUUGGAGAAAAAUGGGAUGGGUUUUGGUUUUUUUAAAGGUAAAAAGAGUCAUGGACUACAACCUGAUUUUUGAACUUUUAAGGUAAAUUUCCAGAUUGCAGCCAUUACAAUAGAAAAGUUGUUUAAAGUCCAGUGAUUACUGUUAACUAAUUUUACUUUUUAAGUGGAGAGAACUAAUGGUUUUGUGAGCAUUAUUUCUGAUGGAUCUUUGGCAUAUGACCACUAAUAAAGGAAUUUAUCACCUGGGAAACGAAAUUUUUUAGGAAUGUCCUGUAUUUUACCACCCCUGUUCUGAAGUGUGGGCGAAGUGAUUAAAACCUAUUAAAGUUUUAUUUCAAGAUGCUUCUUAGGAGCCCAAAGCCUGGACCAGAUUUUCCUGUAGCCUAGAAUCUGAAGGAUUCCUGAAGAAGACCUCUCUAUGAGAAAUCCAAAGGAGCCCCAAGAUAUUGGAUCUGGAUAAGUAUUGUUUCUCAUCAUUUUCAUCGACUAGAAAUGUUUCUGUAGCAUACAUAAAACUGGCCAUUUUAUUUCCCUGAGAAUUCUAUUUACCCUGAGCAAAGUCCCUUUAUGUAGAGAACCUAGAAAGGACAGAGCUAUUCCCCAAACUUAGUUGAAAUAGGAAAAGUUUAACAUUUCAAUUUCUUUCUUUAAAUCUUCCACUGAUGUAUCGUCUUCCUCAGGUCUUUUUACAUGACCUUUAUAAACAUAGGUUGCUACUCUCCUUAGUUCAUCAAGGUCCAUAGAGUCCCAAUUAGGACAGCUAGUUCUAAAGUAGUCUUUUACCACUGAACAACAAUUCUUAACAAAUUGCCUACGUAUUUGUCUAAUGUCUCUUUCUCUGGAUAAAUCAAGGUCCAUAUAUGUAUUCCCUAUGUCAAUAAGUCUGUCCAUAAACUGGGAGGGUGUUUCAUCGAUAUGUUGUCGGGUUUUUUCAAAUUUUGACCAUUUUUCAGGUCUAUCAGAGCAAGUUCUCAUGGCUGUCAAUAAUGCUUCUCUGGCCUGGUUUAGUUUUGUGUAAUCUAAUUCAACAUUGGGGUUCCAAUGUGGAUCUUCAGUUGGCCAAAAAUAUCCUCUUCUACCUCAUUUUUGAUUAGCCAGAGAGACAAUUUUAUUUUUUCUCUCUCUUUUUUAAUAAUUCUUCUAAUAUAUUCUCAACAUCCAACCAAGUGGGGCCAAAAUUUCUGAAUAUGUUCUCUAAUUUUUUUAUAAUUAAUAUUGGUUCAUCCUCAAAUGAUGGCAUAUCUUCCUUCAAUUUUUUUAAAUCCUCAGGGGUAAAAGGUGUAUGAUGUCUUACAGAUAUCAAGUUUCCAUUUUUUUUAAAGUGGGUACUUCCCUUAAAGGAAAUAAACUUUCUAAAUUAUUUGGUACUCUUGUUUCUAGGCUUCUUGCUCCAUUUUCAAUUGGGUAAGUCUGAGAAAUAGAAAAGUUGGGCACAUUAAAAGGAAGGGUUUGUUGUUGUCCCAUUGUGUCAGAAAAUUCAGAGGUAGGAUGUGAAUUUAGGUUGGAAUGUGAACUUAAAGGAGAUUGUGUAGGAUGAGAAGGAGGGGCCAAGGAAGAAGUGUGAAAGGAUACAGAGGUGUUUGGAUUGGAGGAAUCAGUAAGGUGUGAAGUAGAGGGAUUAAGAUCAGAAGUACCGGUAGGGUGUGAAUUUAGAGUUGAUUGUGUUGGGUCAGAAGCGUGGGUGGGGUGUGAAUUCAGAGUUGGUUGAUUAGAGUUAGAGUUUUCUGAGGCCAAGGGGGUGGGGGUGGGGUUCGUUAAGAGGGUUAUUGUCCAUAGCAGGGUGGGACAGAGAUUCUGAUAUUGUUCUUAACUCUCUGUUAAUGCUUCUUAUAAAAGUUACAAUCUCUCCCUGACCUUCCUCUAUAAGAUCCUGUCUAGUAUUUAGUUUUUCAAUUUGUUGAAUAUGAGAGGGAGCAAUUGGUUGGUUUGACUGAGAAUUGAGUUCUUCAAGGAAAUACAAUAUUAAAAUUAUAACAAUCAAAAACCCAAGGGAAAGUAGUAUGUUGAUUAGAUUUUGCCAUAAGUUCCAUGUGAUGAGCCCUUUCAGAGAGACAAGGAAUUCUGUAUUUAUAAGAUUGGUCAUGGGGCUGAUAAGCCAGCUGCUAAGUAAGCUGCAGACCAAUGCUUGUACUAAGAAAAGAACAAAGUAUUUACUGAAACUCCAGUUAUUAAUUAAGUUCUGAACUGUCUGUGUCUGAACUGUCUGUGACUCCAUAUUUCUAAAGUAAAAACAUGGGAAGUAGGACAAGGCCAAAAGGUUUUCCCAGGUUUUUCUAAUCCUAAAUUAGGCAAUUGCUAGCCAGGAUCUUAGGGCCCUGUUGUUAAGAUCUAAAACAGCUUAAAUUAAGAAGAAUCAAAAAGGCUUUUUACUCACCCAUUCUUGCAGCUGUAAUUUGAAGUCAAGUUAAAAAAGAAAUCAAAACUGACUGAUAUGCAAGUUGUAAGGCAAAGAGAUAAAGAAAAGAGAUUUCACAGAAGCCUUUUGAGGGUUUCUCAACAACUUCGUAAGGUUGCCAUAAACUGUGAGAUUUAAAAUGGUUUAUUUCUUAAACUGUAGUGAUUAAAAUAGUGGAAGAUAUAAAUUGUGAUAGAUAUAAGAGAGGGUGAGUAAAUUUGACCACAGAAAUAUGUUUCACUACAGUGUCUUGGGUUUAAAAUCAAAUAUAAGGUCGUUGCCAGGGAAAUAUUCCCAAUUAUUCAAAUACCCAAGUCAAUUGGGUUUUAUAGAGAUUUUUAAUUAACAAUACAAUGAGUAAUCAAAGAAAGAGAGAGAGAGAGAGUAAGAAAGGAAUAAGUAUGAAGGGCCUCAAGCCAAUAUGGCCUAGACCUGAGCCUUAAGAGAGAAAUCAGUCAGUUUUUUAUAACUUACCAUAAGAUCUGUCUAAGUAAGGAUUUCUAAUGAUGCCAGGCCAUCAGCGUCUCAGCUACUUUCACCAGCUCCCUCCUCCAUCUGAAUGUUUCAGAAUCAGUCUCCUCAGAAUGAGUCUCUCCAAUCUGAAUGUUUCAGAAUGACUUUCUCAGCUCUUCCCUGAGCUCUUAUUUUUAAGGACAAAAUCUUCUCUGUCACCUCCCCUAAGUCCUUACAUCUACCAAUCACUGUAGAUGGUUCUAAAGGACUGCCUAUUUUGAAUUCACAGCUGAGUAGUUUUAAUCUCUUUCGUAAGUCAGGAAAAAAUGCUGCUGUGUCGAAUAAUUUCAUUAGAAAAAACCUCUGAAUAAGUUAUCAGCCUUUUAGGUUUAAGUAGUUUACAAGUUGCCCCACCUUUAUAGGUACUUAGUAUCCCAUUGUAUCAAUUCUAAAACAGUCAUGACUCAAAGAACUUCCUGUCCCUUCCAUAAGCAUGGAUCAAAGUACUUUUCAUUGUUCUCAAGGAGCUCUCUGUCCUAAAGCAGUCCUAAGUAGGGUGGAGUAGGGAUAUUCCCAAGGCAAGGAGCCCCCACACUCAAGUAGAGUUCUCACCAUCUGCUAGGGAACUUUUUUUAAGUAGAAGAUUCCCCAAUGGGGGAAACCCAUAACAUUCAUAAGUCUGAGAAAUUUUGAGGUUUACAGCAGCAUAGAUAAUCCUUGUAGUGAAUAAGCAUAUAUGGAAUUGAUCAAGACCUGUUAAAGAAUGUGUUUAUGGAUUUCUCUUACUUUUCUCUUGCAGCAGCAAGGAAGCUGGCUGAUACCAAAGGAGGAGUCUGCCAGAGGACAGAAGUCUGCGAGAGGAGGCUGAAGGCAUCAUCAGGACCCACCAGAUGUGAACGACUUAAGACUUUGGGAAUUGGGGCUAAGGUCCAUGACCAAGGUGACCCAGCCCUGGACUGAGUCUUUCCCUUUUGUGUCCUCUGUGGUGCAGUGGAUAGUGUCAGGUCUAGAGUCAGGAAGAUUCAUCUUUUUCAUCGAAGUAAUGGUCUUCAAAACCCAGCUACGAUGGUCUGGACACAUCAUCCGCAUGGACCCACAACGAAUACCAAGACAGGUAUUCUAUGGUGAACUGUCAGCUGGACUCAGGAAAUAAGGUUGACCAAAGAAAAGAUUCAAGGAUCAGCUAAAGUCAAACUUGAAGUGGGCUGGCAUUACACCAAAGCAACUAGAACCCGCUGCCUCUGACAAAAGCAGCUGGCAUACCCACAUUCACCAUGCCGCCACAACCUUUGAAGAUGAGCGACAUCGACAUCUCGCCGCUGUGCGUGAACGCCGACACCAGGCCACAACCGCACCUCCUGUAACAACUGGCGUCCCAUGCCCCAUGUGCCACAAACUCUGUGCCUCAGCCUUUGGACUUCAAAGCCACAUGAGGGUACAUCAAUAGAUGAUAAUGCACAAAGACAAUUGUCAUUCUCGGUCAUCUAGAGACUACCACUACUACCAUUGUAGGGCAUCAGCCCCUCACUAUUAUUCCUGUCUGGAACUCCUCAUUUUCCUUUCUCACCAUUGUAAAGUCAAUCAACUGUCCCUCUAAUCCUAAAGCCCCCAGGUCAUCUAGAGUGGUUCCCCAAGUUCUUUUGUUCCCUGGAGUCCAUAUUGAGUCAGUGGCACUCCCAGGGGCUAGUGACCAGGGCGUCUUUACUCUGUGCAGUCUUGGGAAGCAACUCUGUUGUUGUAUUAGUAGCGCUAACCCCUUUUCCCUUGAUUAAAGAGUGAUUUUUGACUA